Molecule: long non-coding RNA, 1211 nt
Organism: Megalobrama amblycephala (Wuchang bream)
Lineage: Eukaryota; Metazoa; Chordata; Actinopteri; Cypriniformes; Xenocyprididae
Exons: 4
Source: RefSeq, a predicted model, not a curated record
UUAAAUGAGUUUAGUUUAAACGCAGACAACAACUUGUGCAGUUCAGGUAUCACCUGCGUAAGCUAUCAACACCCGGUGAUGGCGAAGUAAAUGACUGCUCAUAUAGAACAUGCGGCAUUCGCACUGAACAAAGUUUAGGAAUAGCCAGAAUGCAUAUAGGUGGUCGGUUCAUGUGCUCUCUGCGUGAACUGAAGCGGUACCGCGAUCUGUCACUCCACAGAGUGCUAAGAAAGAUCACGACAGCUCGAGAGACGUCCAUGGUCUCACUCCAGUAUGGGAAAGUAGUCAGUCACUCCUUGUGUUUUAUGAAUAGGCUAACAGGUGAGCUGAGGGAUUGCACAAAAUUACAUACAUCUCUAAAAUUACUACGCAAUAGGCGUGUGAAGUGAAUGAGUGUAAACUGAGCUCAGCGCAAAUCAAAUAGCCGUGCUGUUUGUCUCUCAGAAAUCAGAGCCUUGCAAAAAAUUAGUCUAAUACAUCAAUAAAAUACUGCAUCAUAAACAUUUUCUACUAUUUGUUAUGUAUUUAAAUGAUUUAAACCUUGCAAGAUGAUAGAUGAAACACAAAUGGGCAAAAAGUAUGAAAUGAGCAGCGCGUUCGUAAAUCAAAUAGCCGCGUUUCUCUUGCGUCUCUCAGAAAUCAGCUUUGUCAGUAAUAGGCUGCUAUCAACUAAAACACUACAUCAUCAUACACACUUUCUACUAUUCAAUGUCUACUUAAAUGUUUAAAACAUUGUACGAUAUGAUAAAUUAAUUAGUGUAAAUUGUAUGAAUGAAAUGAAGCACGCGAUAGCAAGUCAAGACAAAUUGUAGGACUAUAUUUCUUUCCGCAGCCAAAUGCCGCACGCCGGAGAUCCGGCACGGUGCCGGAAAACUUUAAGCCCUGAGGGCAGAACGUCUGGAUGUGCACAGCUGAAUCAUCAGACUAGCUAGCGCGCUGAUGGGAACCAAGCACAGAGAUGGCACUGAUAGCCAGUCGCAACUGGAGCGUACUGCCACAGCCACACAUCCAGACUGCAGCCCCCCUUUACCUUCAUUAUAUGGACAAAAGUUGCCAGGAUAUUCUUCAAAAAAUUGUCUUGGCAGUGACAACUGAACAUCUUUCCCUGCUACACUCACCCCUCCCACAGUAGGGCUGCCCUGGCACGAACUCGGCAGCAUUGACCCAGUCCACUGCCCCCAAGCCUUGGGGCUUCUCCUGGGCGUCGGUCG